UGCAAGAGCCGGCAGGAAAUUCCCCUCCUCCA
Molecule: non-coding RNA, 32 nt
Filed under: Homo sapiens (human)
Lineage: Eukaryota; Metazoa; Chordata; Mammalia; Primates; Hominidae
Source: RNAcentral